This 254-nucleotide ribosomal RNA is filed under the name uncultured bacterium. Its description in RNAcentral is "partial 16S ribosomal RNA". It matches the Rfam family "Bacterial small subunit ribosomal RNA", at positions 526 to 779 of the family's 1533-position model. The record is from RNAcentral.
CGUAGGGUGCAAGCGUUAUCCGGAUUUACUGGGCGUAAAGAGCGCGUAGGCGGAUCGUUAAGUGUAGAGUGAAAUCUCCAGGGCUCAACCCGGAACUGCUCUGCAUACUGGCGAUCUUGAGGGGCACAGAGGCAACUGGAAUUCCUGGUGAAGCGGUGAAAUGCGUAGAUAUCAGGAGGAACUCCCAUGGCGAAGGCAGGUUGCUGGGUGCCAUCUGACGCUGAGGCGCGAAAGCGUGGGUAGCAAACAGGAUU